AACGCUGGCGGCGUGCCUAAUACAUGCAAGUCGAACGCUUUUUUCAAUCAUCGUAGCUUGCUACACCGAUUGAAAAUUGAGUGGCGAACGGGUGAGUAACACGUGGGUAACCUGCCCAAAAGAGGGGGAUAACACUUGGAAACAGGUGCUAAUACCGCAUAACCAUGAUGACCGCAUGGUCAUUAUGUAAAAGAUGGUUUCGGCUAUCACUUUUGGAUGGACCCGCGGCGUAUUAACUUGUUGGUGGGGUAACGGCCUACCAAGGUAAUGAUACGUAGCCGAACUGAGAGGUUGAUCGGCCACAUUGGGACUGAGACACGGCCCAAACUCCUACGGGAGGCAGCAGUAGGGAAUCUUCCACAAUGGGCGCAAGCCUGAUGGAGCAACGCCGCGUGAGUGAAGAAGGUCUUCGGAUCGUAAAACUCUGUUGUUAGAGAAGAACAUGCAGGAGAGUAACUGUUCUUGUAUUGACGGUAUCUAACCAGAAAGCCACGGCUAACUACGUGCC
RNAcentral lists this ribosomal RNA (508 nucleotides) under uncultured bacterium. Its description in RNAcentral is "bacterial SSU rRNA". It matches the Rfam family "Bacterial small subunit ribosomal RNA", at positions 32 to 509 of the family's 1533-position model. The record is from RNAcentral.